AGCGGCGAGCGAAGCGGGAAGAGCUCAAAUUUAUAAUCUGGCACCUUCGGUGUCCGAGUUGUAAUCUCUAGAAAUGUUUUCCGCGUUGGACCGCACACAAGUCUGUUGGAAUACAGCGGCAUAGUGGUGAGACCCCCGUAUAUGGUGCGGACGCCCAGCGCUUUGUGAUACAUUUUCGAAGAGUCGAGUUGUUUGGGAAUGCAGCUCAAAUUGGGUGGUAAAUUCCAUCUAAAGCUAAAUAUUGGCGAGAGACCGAUAGCGAACAAGUACCGUGAGGGAAAGAUGAAAAGCACUUUGGAAAGAGAGUUAACAGUACGUGAAAUUGUUGGAAGGGAAACGCUUGAAGUCAGACUUGCUUGCCGAGCAAUCGGUUUGCAGGCCAGCAUCAGUUUUCCGGGAUGGAUAAUGGUAGAGAGAAGGUAGCAGUUUCGGCUGUGUUAUAGCUCUCUGCUGGAUACAUCUUGGGGGACUGAGGAACGCAGUGUGCCUUUGGCGGGGGUUUCGACCUCUUCACACUUAGGAUGCUGGUGGAAUGGCUUUAAACGACCCGUCUUGAAC
This 558-nucleotide ribosomal RNA is filed under the name Rhodotorula mucilaginosa. RNAcentral's name for it is "eukaryotic LSU rRNA". It matches the Rfam family "Eukaryotic large subunit ribosomal RNA", at positions 85 to 659 of the family's 3401-position model. The record is from RNAcentral. Lineage: Eukaryota; Fungi; Basidiomycota; Microbotryomycetes; Sporidiobolales; Sporidiobolaceae.